GACGAACGCUGGCGGCGUGCUUAACACAUGCAAGUCGAGCGGUAAGGCCCUUUCGGGGUACGACGAGCGGCGAACGGGUGAGUAACACGUGGGUGACCUGCCCUCCAGCUCUGGGAGUAAGCCUGGGAAACCGGGUCUAAUACUGGAUAUGACUCCAUGACGCAUGUUGGUGGGGUGGAAAGCCUUGUGCGGCUGAGGAUGGGCCCGCGGCCUAUCAGCUUGUUGGUGGGGUGAGGCCUACCAAGGCGACGACGGGUAGCCGGCCUGAGAGGGCGACCGGCCACACUGGGACUGAGACACGGCCCAGACUCCUACGGGAGGCAGCAGUGGGGAAUCUUGCGCAAUGGGCGAAAGCCUGACGCAGCGACGCCGCGUGAGGGAUGACGGCCUC
This 391-nucleotide ribosomal RNA is filed under the name uncultured bacterium. RNAcentral's name for it is "bacterial SSU rRNA". It matches the Rfam family "Bacterial small subunit ribosomal RNA", at positions 28 to 418 of the family's 1533-position model. The record is from RNAcentral.